Molecule: unclassified non-coding RNA, 2036 nt
Filed under: Daphnia magna
Lineage: Eukaryota; Metazoa; Arthropoda; Branchiopoda; Diplostraca; Daphniidae
Description: uncharacterized LOC116936244, transcript variant X4
Source: RNAcentral
UUUCCAGAGAGAUGGCGCGUCGGUCAUGAAGAUAGGGAAAAAUCAGGCCGCGAAGUUGUUUUCAAGGCGGGGCUUUGUGCGUCGCCUGGCAACGGACUGGUUUUUCCACAGGCCGUGUGAGGCUGUAAACAUGGUCUCACUACAUAUGUAUUAAGAUUUUUUCAUUAGAAAACUCAGUGUCAAAGAGAAUAUGAACUCAAGUCAGUUACCAUGGCAAGUGGAAAUAGUGAAGAUGCUAAAAUUGGCUCGGAUUAUGGGCAGUAUUGCUUGGAAAAUAUUCCUGCUGCUCAAGCAAAUCAAUUUGAAUUUGGAAAAGGAUAUGAUGUAUCCUUUUUCAAGAUAUCAGGGAAAAAUAUCAAGGAAGAAAGAACAACAAUUGAAGGAGAACUCAACAUCCAACCCUUGUUCAAGGCGUUCCAAGAUAUCCCACCCGCCCAGCACUUUGGUUGGAUUUCAAGAAGCGCAAAGGGACCUGCAGCUCGAGGCGUACUUCUAUACAUGAUAUAAAAACAAAAAUAGCUAUAGAAGAUGGCAUGGAUCAUUUUACACUGUCAGCGUCCAAAAACACAAAGGAGUGGUCUACUGAUGUUGGUGGGUAUGGAAACCUUGCCAAUGAAUUCAUGCAAACUCCAGAGUGCCAUGCUGCAGUAGAUACAUGGACUAGCAUCGUAAGAAAACACCAAUUGGCGAGAGAGAAAGAUCCAGAAUGGAUUGCCCACCACAAGGAAAGCGAGAUCUAACGCAAAAAAAACGCGUGGAAACAAUGUAUGGCAAAACUUUAGGUCGUUCGACUUCAAUACGGACGGAGGCCGCAACUGCAAUUGCCAGUCAUCAAAAUAAUGGAUUCGAAAUGAUCAGAGACUUAGAUGGAGAUGUGGCCCGAUUUAGUACCCCUUCUCCUAACGAACAUGAUGUAUUGCUAGAAAGUCGUGAUCCUGGUCAUCAACAAGUAUUGCCUGAUGUUCAUGAAGAAAAUGGAUCGCAUCCAGAAACUUGGCCUAAAAAUUUUCAAUCCGCUGGAACUGAUAUUCUUGAUUCAGGGAGUGAGCAGUCUGUUUCAAAUAUUACUACGCGACCGAUGGCAACUUGUGUAGCUAUCUAUGGGUGUGAUUCAUCGAGACCGAAUUUCAGUAGGCCAAGUGGUGAGCUAGUUGGACCAACUACCACCACAGUUUCAAAUGCUUCAGGAAGCGAUGGUUACGCUUCUGCUCGCGGCAAUGUUCCACGAAAUUAACCCGCUCCAAUGCUGAUACCUACUUUAUCAUCGACCUCGUCUGAUUCUACCCAAAUUCCUUCCGCUUCUGCCAAGCCUGGGAGAUGCCCUCCAAGUGGCCGUGGUGUCACUGGCGCAAAAGGACGCAAUGGCUCGAAAAUCCUUGGUAGUUCUGCGGAGCGCCCAAUUGUGCACCCGUUAAGUGCCUACUGCUACCAGUCGACGUACCAGGCCCUGAAACCUAAUUCCAACCCACCAGAAUAUUACUUCAUAACAAGAGGAACGUUUCCACCCCAGUGAGCACGAACCAUAGGACUUCCGGAAGCGCCUCGCAUGGCUAAGUUUUAGAGACGGUUUUACUGCAAAGCAUGUAACUUACCCGUUUGCUCACCAAAGUGUUCAAAGAAUUUCUUUUACGGUGUGACAUGAUUUUAGUUUUUUCUUACCAAUCAAGAUUUCAAACCAACCCAACAGUUGCAAGCUGAAGCUGUUUAUAUGUGAAUGUUGUACUUCUGUACUUUUUUAUAACUGCCAGAGCAAAGAAAAAGCUUUGUUUUAAUGUAAACAAGACACUAAGCAAGUUUUAACGUCACCAUUCUCUUGCCCUAUGUUUACGCUGUCGUCCGUCCAGCGGCGAAGUAAAAGGUAGAAGACCACAAUGCAUUCAAGAAGAUUUUAUGUAAAGAUACCGGCUGUCUGUUCAUACAAAUCGGAAGAAAAUUAAACAAAGAUAACACACUAAGCCCAGACAAGAAGAAAAAAAUGGUAGACGUAGUAUUGUUUCAGUCAAAGUUUAAAAAUCUAAUAAAAAAAUGAACUUACA